UACGUAGGUGGCAAGCGUUGUUCGGAAUUAUUGGGCGUAAAGCGUGCGCAGGCGGUUUUGUAAGCCAGAUGUGAAAUCCCCGGGCUCAACCUGGGAAUGGCAUUUGGGACUGCAAGGCUGGAGUGUGGCAGAGGAGACUGGAAUUCCUGGUGUAGCAGUGAAAUGCGUAGAUAUCAGGAGGAACACCGGGGGCGAAGGCGGGUCUCUGGGCCGAUACUGACGCUGAGGAGCGAAAGCGUGGGGAGCGAACAGG
This 253-nucleotide ribosomal RNA is filed under the name uncultured bacterium. Its description in RNAcentral is "partial 16S ribosomal RNA". It matches the Rfam family "Bacterial small subunit ribosomal RNA", at positions 524 to 776 of the family's 1533-position model. The record is from RNAcentral.